UAGUUAGGUUUCGUUUUCCUGAGAGUGACGU
RNAcentral lists this non-coding RNA (31 nucleotides) under Homo sapiens (human). The record is from RNAcentral. Lineage: Eukaryota; Metazoa; Chordata; Mammalia; Primates; Hominidae.